UACGUAGGGUGCAAGCGUUGUCCGGAAUUAUUGGGCGUAAAGAGCUCGUAGGCGGUUUGUCGCGUCGAAUGUGAAAACCCGGGGCUCAACUCCGGGCCUGCAUUCGAUACGGGCAGACUAGAGUUCGGUAGGGGAGACUGGAAUUCCUGGUGUAGCGGUGAAAUGCGCAGAUAUCAGGAGGAACACCGAUGGCGAAGGCAGUGUUCUGGGCCAGUACUGACGCUGAGGAGCGAAAGCGUGGGGAGCAAACAGG
RNAcentral lists this ribosomal RNA (253 nucleotides) under uncultured bacterium. RNAcentral's name for it is "partial 16S ribosomal RNA". It matches the Rfam family "Bacterial small subunit ribosomal RNA", at positions 524 to 776 of the family's 1533-position model. The record is from RNAcentral.